AAGUUGGUGGACAAAGGAAUAGCUAUGUGGCUAACAACACUUCUUUACUUGUGAACAAAACUAAUGAUUUUUUCAAUAUUUCUGGUACUCCAAGCAAUGUUAACUAUGCUCCAACCACCUACACUGUUGACAACACUUCAAGCACUUAGUCUGUGGACAAUGCUCCAAGCACCUACACUGUUGACAAUACUUUGAGCACCUACACUGUGAACAAUACUUUGAAUGCUUACACUGUGGACAAUACUCCAGGUACCUACACUGCGAGCAAUGUAAACAUUUACACUGACAAUACUCCCAGUACUUACACUGCUCACAGCCCUCCAAGCACUAACAUUGCUGACAAAGCUCCCAGCAGUUCUUCCAUUGACCAUGUCCCUAGCAUUUCCAUCUCAGACACUACUCUGAGCCCUGCUACCUCUGAUGGCAUUCUGAACCCUUCUAGCACUAAUCAUACUCCCAAGACUGCCACCUCUGACAGAACUCCCAGAUCAUCUGAUAGUACUCGCAGACCAUCAAGUUUUGACAGUACGCCAAGCUCUUCCGCUUCUCACAGUGCUCCCAACACUUCCAUCUCUGAAAAUGCUCCCAACACUUCUGACAUUGGUAAUGCUCUCAGUACUCCAACACUGCCAGUACUGAGAUUGAGACUAGACAUAGAAAGAAACAGAGUGCUAUAGGAGGUGAAGAAAUCAAGCAGAAACCAAGUGGAAAACAAAACAAGUGACCAUCACCAAAUAAUGCAGAUAAAGUAGAAUGGAACUACAUAUCAAUAGUAGAAGGAAACCUGGAAAAUCUACAGAAAUAUGGAAAUUAACACAUGUUAAAAAAUCAAGAUU
Molecule: long non-coding RNA, 836 nt
Filed under: Homo sapiens (human)
Lineage: Eukaryota; Metazoa; Chordata; Mammalia; Primates; Hominidae
Description: HSALNT0408129
Source: RNAcentral